CGUGUAGGCGGCCCGGCACGUCCGUCGCUGAAAUCCCCCGGCUCAACCGGGGAAGUGGCGUGGAUACGACCGGGCUGGAGGGGGGUAGGGGGAGCCGGAACUUCCGGUGGAGCGGUGAAAUGCGUUGAGAUCGGAAGGAACGCCCGUGGCGAAAGCGGGCUCCUGGACCCCACCUGACGCUGAGACGCGAAAGCCAGGGGAGCGAACG
This 208-nucleotide ribosomal RNA is filed under the name uncultured bacterium. Its description in RNAcentral is "partial 16S ribosomal RNA". It matches the Rfam family "Bacterial small subunit ribosomal RNA", at positions 568 to 774 of the family's 1533-position model. The record is from RNAcentral.